This 460-nucleotide ribosomal RNA is filed under the name uncultured bacterium. RNAcentral's name for it is "partial 16S ribosomal RNA". It matches the Rfam family "Bacterial small subunit ribosomal RNA", at positions 338 to 795 of the family's 1533-position model. The record is from RNAcentral.
CCUACGGGUGGCAGCAGUGAGGAAUAUUGGUCAAUGGGCGCGAGCCUGAACCAGCCAAGUAGCGUGAAGGAUGACUGCCCUACGGGUUGUAAACUUCUUUUAUAAAGGAAUAAAGUGAGGCACGUGUGCCUUUUUGUAUUUACUUUAUGAAUAAGGAUCGGCUAACCCCGUGCCAGCAGCCGCGGUAAUACGGUGGAUCCGAGCGUUACCCGGAUUUGUUGGGUUUAAAGGGAGCGUAGAUGGGUUGUUAAGUCAGUUGUGAAAGUUUGGGGCUCAACCGCAAAAGUGCAAUUGAUACUGGCAGACUUGAGUGCAGUUGAGGUGGGCGGAAUUCGUGGUGUAGCGGUGAAAUGCUUAGAUAUCACGAAGAACACCGAUUGCGAAGGCAGCCUACUAACAUGCCACUGACAUUGAUGCUCGAAAGUGUGGGUAUCAAACAGGAUUAGAUACCCGGGUAGUC